This 758-nucleotide ribosomal RNA is filed under the name Cytobacillus oceanisediminis. RNAcentral's name for it is "bacterial SSU rRNA". It matches the Rfam family "Bacterial small subunit ribosomal RNA", at positions 58 to 799 of the family's 1533-position model. The record is from RNAcentral. Lineage: Bacteria; Bacillati; Bacillota; Bacilli; Caryophanales; Bacillaceae.
CAAGUCGAGCGGACAGAUGGGAGCUUGCUCCCUGAAGUCAGCGGCGGACGGGUGAGUAACACGUGGGCAACCUGCCUGUAAGACUGGGAUAACUCCGGGAAACCGGGGCUAAUACCGGAUAAUUCUUUCCCUCACAUGAGGGAAAGCUGAAAGAUGGUUUCGGCUAUCACUUACAGAUGGGCCCGCGGCGCAUUAGCUAGUUGGUGAGGUAACGGCUCACCAAGGCGACGAUGCGUAGCCGACCUGAGAGGGUGAUCGGCCACACUGGGACUGAGACACGGCCCAGACUCCUACGGGAGGCAGCAGUAGGGAAUCUUCCGCAAUGGACGAAAGUCUGACGGAGCAACGCCGCGUGAGUGAUGAAGGUUUUCGGAUCGUAAAACUCUGUUGUUAGGGAAGAACAAGUACCGGAGUAACUGCCGGUACCUUGACGGUACCUAACCAGAAAGCCACGGCUAACUACGUGCCAGCAGCCGCGGUAAUACGUAGGUGGCAAGCGUUGUCCGGAAUUAUUGGGCGUAAAGCGCGCGCAGGCGGUUCCUUAAGUCUGAUGUGAAAGCCCCCGGCUCAACCGGGGAGGGUCAUUGGAAACUGGGGAACUUGAGUGCAGAAGAGAAGAGUGGAAUUCCACGUGUAGCGGUGAAAUGCGUAGAGAUGUGGAGGAACACCAGUGGCGAAGGCGACUCUUUGGUCUGUAACUGACGCUGAGGCGCGAAAGCGUGGGGAGCAAACAGGAUUAGAUACCCUGGUAGUCCACG